ACUCAAAUGAAUUGACGGGGGCCCGCACAAGCGGUGGAGCAUGUGGUUUAAUUCGAUGAUACGCGAGGAACCUUACCAGGGCUUAAAUGGGGAUUGACAACUAUAGAAAUAUAGCUUUCUUCGGACAAUUUUCAAGGUGCUGCAUGGUUGUCGUCAGCUCGUGCCGUGAGGUGUUAGGUUAAGUCCUGCAACGAGCGCAACCCCUAUCAUUAGUUGCCAUCGAGUAGUGUCGGGCACUCUAGUGAGACUGCCGGUGCAAACCGUGAGGAAGGUAGGGAUGACGUCAAAUCAUCACGGCCCUUACGCCCUGGGCUACACACGUGCUACAAUGGUCGGUACAGAGGGCAGCUACACUGUGAAGUGAUGCGAAUCUCGAAAGCCGAUCACAGUUCGGAUUGGAGUCUGCAACUCGACUCUAUGAAGCUGGAAUCGCUAGUAAUCGCAUAUCAGCCAUGAUGCGGUGAAUACGUUCCCGGGCCUUGCACACACCGCCCGU
This 496-nucleotide ribosomal RNA is filed under the name uncultured bacterium. RNAcentral describes it as "bacterial SSU rRNA". It matches the Rfam family "Bacterial small subunit ribosomal RNA", at positions 899 to 1397 of the family's 1533-position model. The record is from RNAcentral.